This is a long non-coding RNA of Ahaetulla prasina, 1850 nucleotides long. RefSeq lists it as uncharacterized. The transcript is spliced from 5 exons. The record is from RefSeq and is a predicted model, not a curated record. NCBI's taxonomy places the organism in Eukaryota, Metazoa, Chordata, Lepidosauria, Squamata, Colubridae.
AGGAUAACUGCUGAUGGUUUAGAUGAGAGAUCUCCACCUUUGACAUCACUCAGAAUAUGCAUCAGCACAUGACAUGUGGGCGCUGAUGCUACUCUUGCCUUUAAAAAGCAUGAUGACAAAGCAUGAUGAUAAAGCAUUCUUUUGCACCUUUGCAUCCUUAGGGUCAAGAUAAUUAAAUGGAAAUUCUAUGAAACAUGCCUCUGAGCACCUUCCUAAGGAGACGAUAACUAUUAAAGGAAAAGAGUCACAAAUGCAUGGAAAAUAAUGGCACCCUAGACAUGUAAUAACAGAGUUGGAAGGGACCUUGGAGGUCUUCUAAUCCAACCCCCUGUCCAGGCAGGAAACCCUACAGUCUUCAGGAAGUCUUCAGGAGAACUCUCCUUUCUAGUGCUUUAAGCAUUGGAUCCACACCUGGAAAAAAUUCAGAAGGGAGCAAGAUUUUGCAUAUGACUUGAUGAUGUUAAACUAUUCAACACCACUGACAAUGCUACUACUCUACAAAAACACCUUGACUAUGUAUCAGAAUGGUCAAACAAUUGGCAGCUCCAAAUCUCAACCAACAAAUGCUCUGUCUUACACAUUGGCGAAAAAAAUCAGAACAGAAAAUACAAGCUGGAUGGAUACGACUUAACAGACGACCCUCACUCUGUCAAAGACCUUGGAAUACUCAUCUCAAAUGAUUUAAGUGCCAGAGCUCACUGUAACAGCAUUGUUGUUAAACAGUUUUUUAACAUUGUUAAUGUUAAAAAACAUUAAGAGUUGCUAACCUAAUCUUGCGUAGUUUCUUCUCCGGUAAUAUUGAACUGCAAACUAGGGCAUACAAAACUUUUGCCAGACCAAUUCUUAAAUACAGCUCAUCUGUCUGGAACCCACACUGCAUAUCAGACAUUAAUACAAUUGAACAAGUCCAGAGAUAUUUCACAAGAAGAGUCCUCCACUCCUCUGCUCGCAACAAAAUAACUUUUGCCACCAGACUCGAAAUUUUUGGCUUAGACAAUUUCAAACUUCGCCAUCUUUGGUCUGACCUAAGCAUAGUACAUAAAAUCAUCUGCUACAAUGUCCUACCAGCCAAUGAAUACUUUAGCUUCAACCAAAACAAUACAAGAGCACACAAUAGAUUCAAACUCAUGGUAAACCAAUCCAAAUUAGACUGCAGAAAAUACGACUUCAGUAAUAGAGUUGUCAAUGCCUGGAAUGCACUACCUGACUCUGUGGUUUCUUCCUCAAAUCCCCAAAACUUUAACCUUAGACUGUCUACUGUAGACCUCACCCCAUUCCUAAGAAGUCUGAAAGGGGCGUGCAUUUAGUGUCUUCUUAAAUUCUACAUUAACUUAGGAUCAAUUCCAUCCAGCAAUUGCCAUUCCAUCUGACUGAGGCUGAUAGAGAAAUAGGACACCUCUCUGCUAAAUUCUGAUGACCAUGGGGUUUCUUUUUUGCAAUGGUUUCUUUUCAGGAUGCUUUUUUUAAAAAAGAAAUUGGAAAUAAGAAUAUAAACCUGAAUUUACUUUUUCCUUUUCCAUCCCCAUGAAACAAAACAGCCAAUGGGCACAGAUUGUAUCAUCCAUCCAUUCCAAUAGCCUGAAGAGAUUCUUGCAUAGGAAGCAUUUCCUUCCAUUGGAAGCUUCAAUGUGACACAAAUCUCCUUGUCAAGGAAAAACACAUCCUUCACCUCAAUGAGAAAACUUGCAUCAAACAGAGCAAAAGUAUAUAAUUAAGUUGACCAAUUGGAAAGUUUGAUGCAGACAAAUUGGAUUAAAUGAUCUUUGUGAUGAUGAUGAUGAUGAUGACGACAAUGAUGACGAUGUUGGCAUCUCAUAUAUUCCAUUUCCAAACAUCUGUCAGGAACUACU